AGCGAACGCUGGCGGCAGGCUUAACACAUGCAAGUCGAGCGGGCACCUUUCGGGGUGUCAGCGGCGGACGGGUGAGUAACGCGUGGGAACGUGCCCUCUGGUUCGGAAUAACUCAGGGAAACUUGAGCUAAUACCGGAUACGCCCUUUUGGGGAAAGGCUUGCUGCCGGAGGAUCGGCCCGCGUCUGAUUAGCUAGUUGGUGAGGUAACGGCUCACCAAGGCGACGAUCAGUAGCUGGUCUGAGAGGAUGAUCAGCCACACUGGGACUGAGACACGGCCCAGACUCCUACGGGAGGCAGCAGUGGGGAAUAUUGGACAAUGGGCGCAAGCCUGAUCCAGCCAUGCCGCGUGAGUGAUGAAGGCCUUAGGGUUGUAAAGCUCUUUUAUCCGGGACGAUAAUGACGGUACCGGAGGAAUAAGCCCCGGCUAACUUCGUG
This 437-nucleotide ribosomal RNA is filed under the name uncultured bacterium. RNAcentral describes it as "partial 16S ribosomal RNA". It matches the Rfam family "Bacterial small subunit ribosomal RNA", at positions 29 to 507 of the family's 1533-position model. The record is from RNAcentral.